AAAAAUUCUUGGCUGCAUAUGCUCACACAGUCCAUCUAAAAUCACUGGCGUGGUGUCAGAAGACCUUGUCUUAACCUAGCAGCAAGGCAAGGUUGCAGCUGAGUGAUGCUUCUCCUUCCUGAGCAUGUUUUUCUGUUCUGUUGCAGUGAAUAAGCCACUGAAGUCAGACAGUCUGGAGCUAAUGAGAAGCAACUGGAAAGCAAUAUGAUUUCUCAAGAAAUGGCGACUUACAUCACCAUCUUUCUCCAGCUGACUGCACCACUAAACUCCUGGUCAUCUUUGGCGCAGCAGGAAGAGUCAAAGUCAGAAUGGUGACAAUCAACUGUGACAGCUCUGCAGCUUGUACUACUGGCGAGAGCAAUAGGAGAACUAAAGAUAUCUUCCAUCUCAUCAGUAGAUGCAGGCAAGACGUUGCUCAGAGCCAUCAGCAAGAUGCAAGUGAGCUGACAGUCAGACUCUUGUACAAGAUUUUCAUGCCUUACAAGGUGCGUAUAUUACUUUAACACAUUUUUUUUUUUAUCUUCUCCCUUUUUUUCUUUCGGUUUCAUAUUUGAUAAUUCUGAUCCCUGAGACUUGUUGAAAAUCAUCUGCUAAUGAUAUUAAGCGAUUCUUACAUUAUACAGUGGUCCUGGUCUUUGUUUUACUUGUACAGAUACAUUAUUGUCUGUCCCUCCAGCAUGCAAUGCUGGGAGAUGUUAUGCAUAUCAGCUGCAUCAUUCGCAAGUUCAUCCUAAUGAAAUUUGGCUAUAGUGGUGAAAGUUCCUUCAGAUUAAAUGAAUAUACUACAUGUUUUUGAUGGUUCAGAUGGCAACCUAACAUCUCUCAUGGCUUAAGAUGGUAUGCACCAUUAGAUUUACAAAGUAUGAAAGCAUAGCAUAUGCUAGCAGAAGUCCCUCAGACUUCCAUGUUAUUUUUCUACUUUCCUUGUAAUGCAAACAAGCAUAAGCCUUGAAAGAUCAGUGAUGCAUAGGUAUGAUUUGGCAGCUACUUAAACAAAACCAAAACUCUGAUGGCAUUUUGCUCUUAAAAGAAAAUCCUGGUGUAUCUUGUUUUGAGGGAAUGGAAGGAAUUGUAAAUGAAAAAGUUUGGACACCAGUGCCUGGCAUUCGUGCAACAUUCUGAGAAGGAGCUGAAAGGCUCUCGAGUGCUUUUCCCUUUUAGUGUCUCUUCAUACUCUUUUUUGGUCUUUCCUUUCUGAUGUGAAAUGUUUGUCUAAUUCAGUAUCCCAAAUUACAUUUUAUAAGUGAAGUUCUUCUAAGAGCCAGUCACCAGGAAGCAUCCACUUUAAUUCAGAGCUGGAAUAUGAAAUCAUACAGUUAGAACAGUACAACGGUAAGUCUUUAAUUUAAUGUAUAAUCCUUGCAAAUCUUCUAGGGCCCAGAGCUCACAAGUUUGUUAUUGUGACUAUCACAAAGAAUAAUGUGGAAAAAGAAGUACACUAUUGUGUGGGAAUAUUCUCAAGGCAACAGGGUCCACAUGUAGUAGAGUUCUAUGUUUGAUGUGGCUCGGUUUAGUUCUUUUACUGUAGUACUUUGCUUAUCUACCACUGCUCCCAUUCCCUGUUUAAUAUUAAUCUCCAGUAUUUGACUGUGAGAAAAUACUAAAGCUCUGAUCAAAAAAUGUUUUUUUUUUUAAUCCAGUAAAAUUGUUUCUUUUGAGUCAUAAAACAGUUCUAAAUGUUGAUUUUCCCAUUAUUACCUGUUUACUUAAUUUCUCAGUAACUCACCAAAAGCCCCGUCAACUGUAGAUGCUGUGUUUCACCAUCACUCUUGGGCCCAGGCUGAGACCAGAGAACACGUCCUGCUGUCAACUGUCCAUGGUUUUGCUUGCUUUGUGUUUGACUCUGGCUUGGAGCUCAGGCUCCAGCUCAUCUCAGCACUGUCCUUUCCAAAGGCAGCUUGGAGCAGCAGGCUGCAGGCUGGCCAAGACAUGGCAGCUUCCACAGUUAUCUCACCUUAGCCAAAAACAGCACCAGAUUGUGAAUUGUCCUGCUAUGCUCCACCAGUGAAAAGGGCUAAUUUUUUUUGUGGAUAUGUUAUGGCUGUGGGCAAGAUGAGGGAAGAACACACUGUCUCAGCAAGCAGACAGCAAUUAAAGACUCUUCCUCUCAGAAAUACAGCGACAGAGAAACACUGGUAAAAUUCAGAUUUAGUCUGGACUCAAUUGCUCUGUCUAUGGCUGCUCCUAUGGGUAUUACAGUUCUGGAAAUACCAGGUUCCCAUUCUGGAGCAGCAGAGCACCAAGGUCUAAUGGAGCUGGCAGGAGUCAUUUCUGUGCUUGAGUACACACUGGUCUGCCCCCUUCACUCCUUGCCCUCAUGGAUUUGAACUGCCUUCAUAAAGAGAAAUGUGCUUUGUUUUUAAUGGUUAUAUGUGACAAUUACAAUUUCUCUUCUUUUAUCAAAAAUACAUCAUUAUUGUCAAGAAUGGGUCAUUUUAUUCACAGCAUUAUAGCUUAAAUAAAAUGUAAAGUCACUAAAAAACACUGAAGCCCUUAUAAGUACCCUUAUUCUAUUAAGCAAAUUGGAAAUAUUAGCAUUUACUGGUUCUCCAAAGGGCUAUUGCGUUCAUGAACAAGAAUCUUCAUCUUAAUAUUUCUCUUCCCACUAAAUUAAAAAUGACAGUAGAUGCAGAGCAUGUAUUGCUACAGACUGUAGCUCUAUGGAAAACUUAGCAUGAUUUCAGAGCUGCAAGCUUAUCUGCUUAAGGACAUUACUAAGAAACCAGAUGGAGGAUAAUUUCCCAAAGCUAACCAUCUGGACCCUGCAAUGAUACACUCUGCCCUAAGCAUUACUCUGGGAAUUGACUUCAUGGUGGGAAAAAAAGCAGUGAAAAAAGGACAAGUGGAGAAAGAAAGUACAUUGUAUUUUACAUUACAAAAUUUGAACCCAAAGAGGCACCAUUUUGGAACAUACUGCAGUUUACUCAUUUUUGUGGUAUAAUCUGUGGGAAAAAGGGAAGAGAAAAUGAGAGUUUAAUGGUUAAUAUAGCAUCAUAGUGAGCUACAUUAGAAAGUAGAGAUGGUAUAUUGUUGUUUUUUUUUUUGUGGAAUUUUGAUUGAAUCAUUAGAAGUCAAGAUGCAAAUGAGUAGUGUAAUGUUUUCUGUUAGAACUGCUGUUUUUUUUUUUACACAGAUUCAUUAUUUUAGGUCUGCUAGGUUAUUUUAUGGAGUUCUGCACUUCAGGUAUUCCAGCCAGGUCUGUGUCCCCAGCUGAGAACUCCAGUGGUUUGCGUAGAAAGGUAAGAAAUACAGCAUGUUCCAUGAGGUUUGUGGAGAACACCAAAUGCCUGUUAACCAGAUCAGGUCAAAGCAAAACUCAAAUGAGUGCAUUUUCUGAAUGUUUCUACUGUAUGAUCUUAAGAUGAAAUUAAUUGGUGAAAGAUUUCAGGUGUCAGAUACACCAGCACUCUUGGGACCAGAAGAUCUAAUGAAAGUUAUUUAUCUUUGAUGGUCAUGGGGGUCUACAACCUAUCUUAUUGGAUGCAAUCUUUAGCUGAAAUUUUCUACGAUGAUAAGGCAUUUGGGUUUGUUGUUGUUUCUCCUGCUAUGAUGGUUUUCAGCAUCUCUGAGUGUCAGCUUUUGUUAUGGGCUUUUCUCUGCCAACGCAGUUAUGGGAUAUUUUCCUACAGGGUAUUCAACUGCUUUUGCUUAGCCUGUAGGAACUUACUGGAGACUUUUUUAACUUUUGACACAUUUUGAAUGAAAUUUGCCAAUGAUUUUUCUUUCAUUAGAAAAUUUGGCUAAUACUGUAGAUUAAAAUAAAUAACAGCAAUAAACUUGAUUCAUGUUGAAGUUCUACUACAUGUUGCAAAACUCAUAUCGCAGGUUAGCUCUAAUGCACUCUGUUAUAGCGUGAGCCUUGUAACAAGCUACCUAUUAUCGCUGAGAAAAUGUCAUCAGCUUCCAUCAAAUGUGAGGAUCUUAUCUAGGGCUUCCAACUGUAGCUCACUUUUUUGUGUGUGUGACAGAUUUAGAACAGUAUGAAGGUGUUAUAAAAACCCAGAGAGCCAUCCAUUCAGCACGUUUUUAGAUGGAAUCCUUAGAAAGAAAUAAAAUGUUUUUAAAUUUUCAUUCCCUUUACCUAGCUAGAGCUGUUGAUUGUUUCUGAUAUGUUUAUGUUACAGCUGUUCUGUAAAGACAGACAAAAUGCUCUGUAAUGGUUUUCAAAAGUUCCAUAACAUUUUUCUUCAGCCUGGCACUGUUUAUAUGUUGUCUUGUCUGCUUAUUGCAUCAGGAUGUCCAGAAGAAAAUAACACAGGCAGAAUUGGAUGUCAGGUAAUCAUCAGUAUGAAAAUGGUUUUUUGUUUGUUUGUUUUUUAAUUUCCCUGAAGAAAAUCUACUUGGGAAAAUCAGUAGCAAAACUUUUUUGUCAGUGAAUGUCACUGCUGUGAAACCGGUGCUUUGGUUAAUGUUGAAAUUGGCUUCAGGUGUUAAUGGCAUGAAAUAGCUUACAGAAGAACAUAACACAAGCCUUCUCCAGCUCUUAAUUUACUUUCAUAUGAGAGUACAAGCAAGAGAAAUAGUGCUGAAAACACAGAACUUAUCUUUCUCUACUCAUCGCUCCUUUUCUUCAUCAGUGUUGCUCUGAAGAACUGUUGGUUUAGCAAUUGGGGUGAGAGGACCGUUGUCCCUUAAACACCUGGCAUUUGGAGGCUUCUAAAGUAUACCAUGAAAAGCAAACAAAAUCUGAAGGUAAGCAAGCACUGAAAUAGGAUUUUAAAGUGAAGAAACAAAGAGAUUUUCCCUUACUCACCUGAGUAGUUCCUGGUGUUUCAGAGCUUGGAAACGCACCCAGGGGUUUGUAUUUGUAAUCUUGCUGUGGUCCUGAUCAAAGAGAAAGACUCACCUCUAUAAGCCUCCAUGCAGGCUGGAAUCCUAUGCAAGAAAUGAAGUCAAAAAGCUAUCUGAAGCACAGAAGAGAAUGGUUACUUCUAUUGAUAGAAAAAACUAAUAAUAAUAAAAUGAAAAUGUGGCUUUUAUAAAAAAUGGUCUUGGUAACUAUUAUAUGUGCCUUGCAGGAAAUGGAGAGUUAAUGUGAAGAAAUAGAUCACUGCUUUGCAAAAUAUCUGUGUGUUUUUCUGAUUAUUAGUACAACAUUUUUGUCUGGAAUUUAUUAAUCCUUUGGAAAUCUGUGCAGGUAAGAAGUGUUGGAAAAGAGUAUUGCCCUCUUUGGGCUAAUAUUCUCCUCAGCUGUUUGAGGAGCAGAGCUCUCAUUGAUAUCUAUGGUGUUCCUCACCAGUUGGCAGUCAUUCCGGUGGUGAUCAGUCAGUGAGCUCUGUUCCUUAAUGAGCAAAAUAUAUAGAUCUCAAUUUAUAAUUUAGAACACGUAAUUCAAAGUGAGAGGGAAAUUAUUCUGGCUAUAAGAAGAAAGCUCUUAUGUUGCAAAGAGAAACAGAAAUCUACCCUAAACAAGGAGAAAUAUCUGCUCUUCCAUUUCUUAUGUGCAAGCCUUGAGCCAAAAAGUAUGCAGUAGUGCAAGCAGCUGCUUUGAGGCUCCUCAAGGAAGCACUGUAAAGUUGCCUUUGUGUCAGAAAAGGUAUUAUUUUCAGUAGCUGUUCCCUGGAGCUUUAUCUGUCCAACAGUCUGUUGCACUCCUGUAACUCUGACUGCACUGUUCUAUCCAGAAUAUACACAAGUUAUAGCUCAUAAAACACAAUUUUGUUGCUAAUGACAUCAUGCAGGAAACAUAUUUUAAAAGCAAUGUUGAAAACUAUUUGUGUUGUGCACUCAAGCUGCAUUUGACUGUUAGAAUCCACCCAAUAUAAAUGUCUGCAGAAGCCACUCUGCAGAUCUUCAGUGCAGGCGUGCGCGCCCUGUCCCAAUUUGAAUUGAUCCUGCAGUGCUGGUUACUAUACCACCAGCUCUUUGGGAGCACAGUUGGAUGGUGAUUUCAUCCAAUAACGGGUGAGAGAGACAAACUAGAGGGGAAGAAAAAGACAAGACAGUGCCAGAUACGAAUAUAUUUUCUAAAAGACCAGACAAGGCUUUGAGGAAUUCCUGUGUAAACGUACUCCGUGAUCCUUUUGUUUGCCCACUUCUGAAAACUGUUCUUUUUCUGGUACAGAUAACUGUGCAAGGGACAGUUCAUGAUUCCAUGCCUUGAGCAAUACCUCACAGAUGGGAUCUUAAGAGAAGAAAAUAGAUCUUUUCUGAUACUGGCUGACCCUACCAUACCAUGAGUAAGAACAAGCCAAAAGUCUGCAUGUCCACACAUCUCCUCACCCUCCACAGGAAGAUAUCGGGACAAACCUUCUUAAGAAGCAUUUUGUAUAAGUUGCCUUGUUGCCAAUCGUGAAUCUUCAGAACUGUCUGCCAAAUGCCUGACACUGAAGUGAUUUAAGACCUGCAUUAGAUCAGCUUCAACUGAGUGUAGCAUGCUGCCCUGGGAGGGUGACUGCUCAAUGAGCAUUCCCCUGGCUCUGAGAAGUGAGAAAAAUAAGUUCUGUUAAAAGAAAGAAUUAAUAGUAAUUUGAAUUGAGAAGCCUAAAUCCUGCCCAGACAUACACUCAGAACAAGUUCAGAGCUCAGAAUGCCGCAGUAAUGCAUAUCAAACUUUCUUUCACAUAAACUCCUCGAAACAUCAGGAUGAAAUGGUUAUCAGGAUUCUGAAGGACUAAGGUCUUCAUGUGUAGUGCUAACAGUUAAAAAGAAGGAAAAGCAACCAAAUUGCCCCUAGUCUGCUCAAGAGCCUGUCACUGCUUCCUAAG
RNAcentral lists this long non-coding RNA (6707 nucleotides) under Gallus gallus (chicken). The record is from RNAcentral. Lineage: Eukaryota; Metazoa; Chordata; Aves; Galliformes; Phasianidae.